ACGGCAGCGUUUAAGUGAUGAGUAGGGCUAUAAAUACACAAGGUUAUUGACAACAAAACCAUUAUCAAAAUCUCAAAACCCUAAUAAUGGCGAAACGUUUCAGCGGCGAGGCACAACAAAGCUUUUCUCAUGUUUUUUCUUUCUCUCUUUUUACAUUAUUAUCUCUUAAUCUCUAUAUUAUGUUUCUGCAUUUUGAUUUUUGAAAUUGAUAUUAUAAACGAGAGAAGGUGCUAUGAUGAUGAGAUCAAAUAAUCUCGUUAAUCUGAAUUAUAUUCAUGUGGAUAACUUUCUCAUCCAUUCAUUCUUUUCUGAGC
Molecule: non-coding RNA, 314 nt
Organism: Lupinus albus (white lupine)
Lineage: Eukaryota; Viridiplantae; Streptophyta; Magnoliopsida; Fabales; Fabaceae
Source: the annotation of a GenBank genome assembly